UAGUUUCUAUGGACGGAAAAGAGCAGAUACGGAUCAAAUGGUUUUCAAUGCAUUCCUAUGGGAAAUGCAGAUUUGACCUGAGAACUUUUUGACUUGAGAACCGCCUUCCAAUACGCAUUAAGUUCUCAAGUAAAGACCCCACUGUAGUUUCUAUGGACGGAAAAGAGCAGAUACGGAUUAAAUGGUUUUCAGUGCAUUCCUAUGGGAAAUGCAGAUUUGACCUGAGAACUUUUUGACUUGAGAACCGCCUUCCAAUACGCAUUAAGUUCUCAAGUAAAGACCUCCCAUUAGUUUCUAUGGACGGAAAAGAGCAGAUACGGAUUAAAUGGUUUUCAGUGCAUUCCUAUGGGAAAUGCAGAUUCGACCUACGAACUUUUUGACCUACGAACCGCCUUCCAAUACAGAUUAAGUUCGUAAGUCGAGACCCCACUGUAAUACACUUAAAUGGAAUAAAUCGGUAAGGUCAGGAUCAGGCCAGUGGGAGCUCAGCUACAACUCCUGAAAGUCUGUAUCAUGGAGGAAACAGAUCAGUUGAGUGAUAGUGCUAGGUAUGUGAGGAUUUUUUUAAGUACCUCUGAAGAUCAGCAGUGCUAUGGUGAGCAAAAGUUAUAACAAGUUGGUAAAUCUUGGGAAAUACACAUGGCUUCAGGAUACACUGUUGUGACCGAACAUGUUUUCACUGAUUUAUGUGACACAACAGGCCAAAAAAAAAUUACCAAAUUUUUAACAUGCUUUUCAGUAUUACAGAACAAAACAGUGUACUUGGUGAAAUGAACUAUAGCUUCUUUGAUUGUCUGUUGUUAGUGCAACAAUGCUACAACCAUCAUUAUAUGCCUUUUGAUUUUUCUUCAAAAAUGAUUAUGUACACGUCAUUAAGUGGCUAAGGAACAUGGUGCUGGACACUGGGCUUGUAGAGAAAGAAGAGACAAGCUGAUGUGUCCCCUUCCUAUUACUGAGGACAGUGCGCUUCAGAAAAUGGCAGCCAUCUGGAAUGAGUGGGAAAGUAUCUGUAAGGUGCAUCUUGGCUGAGAUGGAGACAACUGCUUAGUCUACUACAUAGUCUUGCUGCCAAGGUUUGUUCUGAAAGUAAGUCAGCAGAAAGCAAGUGCCAGCUAGCAAGGCAGCUGGACAUUAAUAAGGGGGAUGAUUUCUUCCAUCUCACAAGGCGAGUGGGUUCCUACCGAUCAUGUAUAGCUCAGGCCUGAGCUUUAUGAUACCAC
RNAcentral lists this long non-coding RNA (1220 nucleotides) under Pogona vitticeps (central bearded dragon). RNAcentral's name for it is "lncRNA (ENSPVIG00000017807.1)". The record is from RNAcentral. Lineage: Eukaryota; Metazoa; Chordata; Lepidosauria; Squamata; Agamidae.